CCAGACUCCUACGGGAGGCAGCAGUGGGGGAUAUUGCACAAUGGGGGGAACCCUGAUGCAGCGACGCCGCGUGGGUGAAGGAGCGUUUCGGCGCGUAAAGCCCUAUCGGCAGGGAAGAAGGAGGACGGUACCUGACUAAGAAGCCCCGGCUAACUACGUGCCAGCAGCCGCGGUAAUACGUAGGGGGCAAGCGUUAUCCGGAUUUACUGGGUGUAAAGGGGGCGCAGACGGCGAUGCAAGCCAGGAGUGAAAGCCCGGGGCCCAACCCCGGGACUGCUCUUGGAACUGCGUGGCUAGAGUGCAGGAGGGGCAGGCGGAAUUCCUGGUGUAGCGGUGAAAUGCGUAGAUAUUAGGAGGAACACCAGUGGCGAAGGCGGCUUACUGGACUGUAACUGACGUUGAGGCUCGAAAGCGUGGGGAGCAAACAGGAUUAGAUACCCCCGUAGAA
This 448-nucleotide ribosomal RNA is filed under the name uncultured bacterium. RNAcentral describes it as "partial 16S ribosomal RNA". It matches the Rfam family "Bacterial small subunit ribosomal RNA", at positions 331 to 795 of the family's 1533-position model. The record is from RNAcentral.